RNAcentral lists this long non-coding RNA (309 nucleotides) under Nicotiana benthamiana. Its description in RNAcentral is "long non-coding RNA (NBEN_LNC015679)". Lineage: Eukaryota; Viridiplantae; Streptophyta; Magnoliopsida; Solanales; Solanaceae. The record is from RNAcentral.
GGCAAGGAAAAUACAUCUCAACAAUAUGUCCCGGCAAAGGAAUACAACCCAACAAAUGGUCCUGGCAAGGGAAUACAACUCAACAAAUGAUCCCGGCAAGGGAAAAGUACUAAAAAUUCCUUUUUAGUUCAUUUAAUUCUCAACUUUCAGUUCAUAGUUCUUGUAACAAGCAAUUAUCACAAUUGCUCACUUAUUUCACAAUUUAAUAGCAAGUAUGACAUCACAAUCAUGCUUGACUCGGACGCAUAGGUAACCGUCACCAUACCUAUACACCGACCCAACAUAGCACAUAAAAAAUAACAAUCUAAU